This 451-nucleotide ribosomal RNA is filed under the name uncultured bacterium. RNAcentral's name for it is "bacterial SSU rRNA". It matches the Rfam family "Bacterial small subunit ribosomal RNA", at positions 39 to 473 of the family's 1533-position model. The record is from RNAcentral.
GGCCGGGGGAAUGCGAUUCAGGCCUAACACAUGCAAGUCGAACGGCAGCACGGGUGCUUGCACCUGGUGGCGAGUGGCGAACGGGUGAGUAAUACAUCGGAACGUACCUUAUCGUGGGGGAUAACGCAGCGAAAGCUGUGCUAAUACCGCAUACGCCCUGAGGGGGAAAGCGGGGGAUCGCAAGACCUCGCGCGAUUAGAGCGGCCGAUGCCUGAUUAGCUAGUUGGUGGGGUAAAAGCCCACCAAGGCGACGAUCAGUAGCUGGUCUGAGAGGACGAUCAGCCACACUGGGACUGAGACACGGCCCAGACUCCUACGGGAGGCAGCAGUGGGGAAUUUUGGACAAUGGGGGCAACCCUGAUCCAGCAAGGCCGCGUGAGUGAAGAAGGCCUUCGGGUGUAAAUUAAUUGGUCAGGGAAGAAACACCGGCUCUACACAGUCCGGGAAUGAC